GAUGAACGCUGACAGAAUGCUUAACACAUGCAAGUCAACUUGAACUUCGGUUUGGGUGGCGGACGGGUGAGUAACGCGUAAAGAACUUGCCUCACAGAUAGGGACAACAUUUGGAAACGAAUGCUAAUACCUGAUAUUAUGAUUAUAUGGCAUCGUAUAAUUAUGAAAGCUAUAUGCGCUGUGAGAGAGCUUUGCGUCCCAUUAGCUAGUUGGAGAGGUAACGGCUCACCAAGGCGAUGAUGGGUAGCCGGCCUGAGAGGGUGAUCGGCCACAAGGGGACUGAGACACGGCCCUUACUCCUACGGGAGGCGGCAGUGGGGAAUAUUGGACAAUGGACCAAGAGUCUGAUCCAGCAAUUCUGUGUGCACGAUGAAGUUUUUCGGAAUGUAAAGUGCUUUCAGUUGGGAAGAAAAAAAUGACGGUACCAACAGAAGAAGUGACGGCUAAAUACGU
This 453-nucleotide ribosomal RNA is filed under the name uncultured bacterium. RNAcentral's name for it is "partial 16S ribosomal RNA". It matches the Rfam family "Bacterial small subunit ribosomal RNA", at positions 28 to 506 of the family's 1533-position model. The record is from RNAcentral.